UACGUAGGUGGCAAGCGUUGUCCGGAUUUACUGGGCGUAAAGAGCGCGCAGGCGGUCGGAUAAGUCGAAUGUGAAAGCCCCCGGCUCAACUGGGGAGGGUCAUUCGAUACUGUUCGACUCGAAGGCAGGAGAGGGAAGUGGAAUUCCCGGUGUAGUGGUGAAAUGCGUAGAUAUCAGGAAGAACACCCGUGGCGAAGGCGGCUCUCUGGGACGGUACUGACGCUGAGACGCGAAAGCGUGGGGAGCGAACAGG
Molecule: ribosomal RNA, 253 nt
Filed under: uncultured bacterium
Lineage: Bacteria
Description: partial 16S ribosomal RNA
Rfam family: Bacterial small subunit ribosomal RNA
Source: RNAcentral